This 253-nucleotide ribosomal RNA is filed under the name uncultured bacterium. Its description in RNAcentral is "partial 16S ribosomal RNA". It matches the Rfam family "Bacterial small subunit ribosomal RNA", at positions 524 to 776 of the family's 1533-position model. The record is from RNAcentral.
UACGUAGGGUGCAAGCGUUAAUCGGAAUUACUGGGCGUAAAGCGUGCGCAGGCGGUGAUGUAAGACAGGUGUGAAAUCCCCGGGCUUAACCUGGGAACUGCAUUUGUGUCUGCAUCGCUGGAGUGCGGCAGAGGGGGAUGGAAUUCCGCGUGUAGCAGUGAAAUGCGUAGAUAUGCGGAGGAACACCGAUGGCGAAGGCAAUCCCCUGGGCCUGCACUGACGCUCAUGCACGAAAGCGUGGGGAGCAAACAGG